UACAGAGGUGCCAAGCGUUAGGCGGAAUCACUGGGCUUAAAGCGCGUGUAGGUGGGUCGUAAGUGUCCGCGUGAAAUCCCACGGCUCAACCGUGGAACUGCCGGGCAUACUGGCGAUCUUGAGGCAUUCAGGGGCGAGCGGAACAAAUGGUGGAGCGGUGAAAUGCGUAGAUAUCAUUUUGGAACGCCCAAUGGUGGAAAAACAGCUCGCUGGGAAUGAUCUGACACUGAGACGCGAAAGCCAGGGGAGCGAACGGG
This 257-nucleotide ribosomal RNA is filed under the name uncultured bacterium. Its description in RNAcentral is "partial 16S ribosomal RNA". It matches the Rfam family "Bacterial small subunit ribosomal RNA", at positions 524 to 776 of the family's 1533-position model. The record is from RNAcentral.